AUUGAACGCUGGCGGAAUGCUUUACACAUGCAAGUCGAACGGCAGCACGGGGGCAGCCCUGGUGGCGAGUGGCGAACGGGUGAGUAAUACAUCGGAACGUGCCCGGUCGUGGGGGAUAACGUAGCGAAAGUUACGCUAAUACCGCAUACGAUCUGAGGAUGAAAGCGGGGGACCUUCGGGCCUCGCGCGAUCGGAGCGGCCGAUGUCAGAUUAGGUAGUUGGUGGGGUAAAGGCCUACCAAGCCGACGAUCGGUAGCUGGUCUGAGAGGACGACCAGCCACACUGGGACUGAGACACGGCCCAGACUCCUACGGGAGGCAGCAGUGGGGAAUUUUGGACAACGGGCGCAAGCCUGAUCCAGCCAUUCCGCGUGCAGGACGAAGGCCUUCGGGUUGUAAACUGCUUUUGUACGGAACGAAAAGGCUCUGGCUAAUACCUGGGGCUCAUGACGGUACCGUAAGAAUAAGCACCGGCUAACUACGUG
RNAcentral lists this ribosomal RNA (484 nucleotides) under uncultured bacterium. Its description in RNAcentral is "partial 16S ribosomal RNA". It matches the Rfam family "Bacterial small subunit ribosomal RNA", at positions 29 to 507 of the family's 1533-position model. The record is from RNAcentral.